This 593-nucleotide ribosomal RNA is filed under the name uncultured organism. RNAcentral's name for it is "bacterial SSU rRNA". It matches the Rfam family "Bacterial small subunit ribosomal RNA", at positions 723 to 1319 of the family's 1533-position model. The record is from RNAcentral.
AGGUCCCAAAGCAUAGACUGACUCUGAGGGACGAAAGUGUGGGGAGCGCACGGGAUUAGAUCCCCCGGUAGUCCACGCUGUAAUCGAUGGAUACUAGCUGUUGGGUUUUCGGUCUGGGCGUCCAAGAGAAAGUGAUAAGUUUCCCACGUGGGGAGUGCGUUCGCAAGAAUGAAUCUCAAAGGAAUUGACGGGGGCCCGCACAAGCGGUGGAGCAUGUGGUUUAUUUCGAUGAUACGCGAGGAACCUUACCAGGGUUUAAAUGGGAGAUGCUCGGGUCAGAGAGGACCCUUUUUUGGGACAUCUUUCAAGGUGCUGCAUGGUUGUCGUCAGCUCGUGCCGUGAGGUGUCAGGUUAAGUCCUAUAACGAGCGCAACCCCUACCGUUAGUUGCCAGCGAGUCAAGUUGGGGACUCUAACGGGACUGCCGGUGCAAACCGAGAGGAAGGUGGGGAGGACGUCAAAUCAUCACGGCCCUUACGUCCUGGGCUACACACGUGCUACAAUGGUCGGUACAAAGGGAAGCCACCCCGUGAGGGGGCGCGGAUCUUAAAAGCGCGAUCAUCAGUUCGGAAUCGGGGUCUGCAACUCGACCCC